CACUUUGGAUGGAAAACAGCAUAAACAUAAGAAUUCUGACUACUGUUAAUGUACACAACAAAGUUACAGCAUUCAAAGGUGAUGAGUGAUGGAGU
Molecule: long non-coding RNA, 95 nt
Organism: Sinocyclocheilus anshuiensis
Lineage: Eukaryota; Metazoa; Chordata; Actinopteri; Cypriniformes; Cyprinidae
Exons: 3
Source: RefSeq, a predicted model, not a curated record